Molecule: transfer RNA, 84 nt
Filed under: Chloroflexota bacterium
Lineage: Bacteria; Bacillati; Chloroflexota
Description: tRNA-Leu
Rfam family: tRNA
About the family: Transfer RNA (tRNA) molecules are approximately 80 nucleotides in length.
Source: RNAcentral
GCCUCGGUGGCGGAAUUGGCAGACGCUCAUGGUUGAGGGCCAUGUCCCCGCAAGGGGGUGGAGGUUCGAGUCCUCUCCGAGGCA